Molecule: small RNA, 450 nt
Filed under: Photorhabdus khanii NC19
Lineage: Bacteria; Pseudomonadati; Pseudomonadota; Gammaproteobacteria; Enterobacterales; Morganellaceae
Description: cspA thermoregulator
Rfam family: cspA thermoregulator
Source: RNAcentral
GCCGGCCUGAUAAACAGACCUACUUUAUGUACGACAUCUUGAGUUAAUGAGUUAUGUGUAAGUGUUAUCCUCAGAUAGCCUUUGUUGACGCGUUUCCUUCUUAGUGCCUCCAUAAGUAAUAGCUGAUAACUGGCCAGUACAUGCCCAUGUUGGCAAAUUUUUUUUGAUAUAUAGGAAAGUCACAAUGUCUGACAAAAUGAAAGGUCAAGUGAAGUGGUUCAACGAGUCUAAAGGCUUUGGUUUCAUCACCCCAGCUGACGGUAGUAAAGACGUAUUCGUUCACUUCUCUGCCAUUCAGGGUAACGGUUUCAAGACUUUGGCAGAAGGCCAGAACGUAGAAUUCACCAUUGAAAAUGGUGCUAAAGGCCCAGCAGCAGCAAACGUAACUGCUAUCUGAUUGCCUGAAUGAUUUUUAAGUCCGUCAUUGUCUUAUAUAGUGGCGGACUUUUU